AUCUGCCUGAUAGUGGGGGAUAGCCCGAAGAAAUUCGGAUUAAUACCGCAUAAUCUAUUCGUAGUAAAGUGAGGGACUUUCGAGCCUCACGCUAUCAGAUGAGCCUGCGUAAGAUUAGCUUGUUGGUAGGGUAAAAGCCUACCAAGGCAACGAUCUUUAGCUGGUCUGAGAGGAUGAUCAGCCACAUCGGGACUGAGACACGGCCCGAACUCCUACGGGAGGCAGCAGUGGGGAAUAUUGGACAAUGGGGGCAACCCUGAUCCAGCAAUACCGCGUGUGUGAAGAAGGCCUGAGGGUUGUAAAGCACUUUCAAUUGUGAAGAAAAGUUAACGGUUAAUAACCGUUAACCUUGACGUUAACUUUAGAAGAAGCACCGGCUAACUCCGUGCCAGCAGCCGCGGUAAUACGGAGGGUGCAAGCGUUAAUCGGAAUUACUGGGCGUAAAGCGUGCGUAGGCGGUUUAUUAAGUCAGAUGUGAAAGCCCCGGGCUUAACCUGGGAACUGCAUUUGAAACUGGUCAACUAGAGUAUGGUAGAGGAAAGUGGAAUUUCUGGUGUAGCGGUGAAAUGCGUAGAUAUCAGAAGGAACAUCAAUGGCGAAGGCAGCUUUCUGGACCAAUACUGACGCUGAGGUACGAAAGCGUGGGUAGCAAACAGGAUUAGAUACCCUGGUAGUCCACGCCGUAAACGAUGAUAACUAGCCGUUGGGGGGGAUUUACCCCUUAGUGGCGAAGCUAACGCGUUAAGUUAU
RNAcentral lists this ribosomal RNA (750 nucleotides) under uncultured Gammaproteobacteria bacterium. RNAcentral's name for it is "bacterial SSU rRNA". It matches the Rfam family "Bacterial small subunit ribosomal RNA", at positions 124 to 868 of the family's 1533-position model. The record is from RNAcentral. Lineage: Bacteria; Pseudomonadati; Pseudomonadota; Gammaproteobacteria.